CUCCGCCUCCCAAGUUCACGUGACUCUCCUGCAUCAGCCUCCCAAGUAGCUGGGAUUACAGGCACAUACCACCAUGUUCUUGAGUUGUAAUUAUUCCACUCCCUAAAUAUAUGACCUUGAGUCUGCCACAGGAAAAGAAAAUGUCUGGAUUCAGAGAGCAAUCAUGCUGUUCUUUCAAUAGCCAUGCUAUUGGCUCUCACAGGCUGGGAAAGAAGAGGGGAGAUGGAAAUGGUGCCUCAGCAGACAGGAAGGGUGGAAGACUCCAAAUCUUCUAAGCUUCUUCACCACCAGAGUCCUACACCCCUACAUCUGUAUUCCCUCAAGAAGAUCUUGGCAGAUUGGUGGUGGGAAAGAAGGAAUAUUAAGGUAAACAGACUAGAAAAAGUUGAAGGUUAGGUAUCAGUUUUCAUUCUUGGUAAAUACAAAAUAUAAUAAUUAUGAUGAUGAUGAUUGAAUGAGAGUCAAUUUGAUUCACUAUACACUUAACACAAUUCAACUAUAUACUUAAAAAUGGUCAGACGGUAAAUUUUAUGUUAUGUAUGUAUUGGGAAGAUGGGUACUUUCGGCACUUUCCAAAAGAAACCAAGUUUAUUAUCAGUUCAAGUGUGCUCCAGUCAAUGUCUAGCUCAUUAGAUGAUUGAACUGAUUCCAAUGACCAUAACAUCUUUCCAGGAGAUUUUUAUAAACUCCAAGGUCUUUCAGUUUAUUUCAAAGCUAACUCUCCUCACACGAGAAUGAAGGCAAGAGGCUGAAGUACCAAUACCACUUCCACCCGACUCCUGUCCCACAACCAAAGUUUCUCUUUGAGCAGCUUACAACAAAAGCUUUACAUUUAUUAAGAUAAAUAGUGCAUUGUCAUUCCUCUGUCCCCUACAUUAAAGCUUAACCUAACACUGCAGUUGAGUCCAAUAAUUAGUCAGACAUUGAAUUCAAUCCUUUCUACUUUCUAACAUUCUAUACAUAAGUCUCCACAUUAUCAUUUCUCAAGAAAGGAAUCACAUUUAAAUAAGUUAAACUAAAAAAAUAAACAAAAUUGGGUUUAUAUGGUCUCUGAAUGUCUCUAAAUAAUACUUCACAUUUUGGAUCUACUGUCUUUUGAAAUCAAUCAAUAUCUUAUAAAGGAUUCAAUCAUCAGAAUCAAGAAGAGUCUCAUGAACUAGUAAAGCAAUAGACAAAUAUUUUACUCUUUUGUUAAAACAACACAAGACUGAUUUAUCUAUAAGCACUGUUUCUAAUAUAUGUAUAUAAUAAAGAUAAUUUCUAUCUAA
Molecule: long non-coding RNA, 1268 nt
Organism: Macaca mulatta (Rhesus monkey)
Lineage: Eukaryota; Metazoa; Chordata; Mammalia; Primates; Cercopithecidae
Source: RefSeq, a predicted model, not a curated record